This is a long non-coding RNA of Clupea harengus (Atlantic herring), 2193 nucleotides long. The record is from Ensembl. NCBI's taxonomy places the organism in Eukaryota, Metazoa, Chordata, Actinopteri, Clupeiformes, Clupeidae.
AAAACUUUCAUUUUCUAAAUGUAUAAUAAUUUUUUUUCUGUACCUACUCGUCGCUCACACCUGCUGAAUUCCCAUCUAAUAUUUAGUUUUACCUCCAGUAGAGGGCUGUUCUGGAGCAUGCGCAAAGCACACUGAAGAACCCUGUUUCUGCUGUCACAACGUUGAGGGGUAAAGCGACUGCGAGUGGGUUUUUCGGAGGCAUUUGGUGAAGCUGAACUAGAGCGUGAUUGGAAUGGCCUGUCGGAGACUGUGUCCCUGCUAGGGUGCCCUGGGUGGGAGAAAAUACCAAACGGUGAGUCAAAUCAAUUCUGUCUGUAACGAUGCAGGCAGAGGAUAAGAAGGACAAGAAGAAGAAAGCAAGUCUAAAUUCGAGAGGUGUAACAGAUGAAUACUGUUUGAGAGUGAGUACCAACACCUCGACUCUACCAGUGAACUUCAAGUCGUCUUCCUAGAAAUGAUUUCAUAUUGACUUCUGCAAAAGCGUAGUACUUGACAUGAUGUACCAGCAUAGUACUUGACCUAUUUUUCCUUAUUCUUUUUAGGAGCGACCAAAAGAGGAUCCUGCAAAGAUGAAGAAUAAGGUGUCCUCUUCACAAGGUCAGUGCUUCUUCAACACAAAAAGAAUCCUACCAAAUAACAAUUCCUUACAAAACCACAGGCCACUGGCCAUACCACUCUGCAGCCGAGGUUCUCUACAAAACAGUCUUUAUUAUAUGCCCGAUGACUAAUUGCUGUGCGCUUGUUGUCAUAAAUCCUUGGUGGUAAUGGGGUCAGAUGAGAGUGCUCCGUGUCUGAAUGUAGUGUUUGUUUUCGAUGCAGUGAGCGGUAAGAAGAGGCCGUGGUCAUGGGACCUGUACCUGGCGGAGGAGGUGGCCAUCGCCGCCCCUCUACGUCUCUUCACUGAGGUACCGUCACAAGUACCCCAUUCAUCACACCACACAGCAGACAAACAAAGACAAAAAAAGACACGCUAGUCGUUCGAACGCUAGGUUGAGGUCAAGUUGUUUGUGUAAAAUUUGGCAUGUUACAAACCUCUUAAAGAUUUUUUAACUGUGUGUGUGUGGUGUGUGAUUUUUGGCAGGUUACAAACCUCUUAAAGAUUUUUAACUUUGCAUGGGCAGUGUUUUCCAUAAUCUGCGAUGAUGUUUUCAUAUUCUUCUACUACUUGCUUAUCAACCAUUUCUAUCUGAUGCAACAGGGUUUAACAUUAUUUGUUGUAUCUUCGAGCACACAAACAAAAAAUAAAUCGUUUUGUGUCUUUAUGCUCUGUGUUUGGAAAGAAAGGUCAACUUCCAUUUGACCUCCCUGGUAAAUCUUAUAAUAGAUAAUGGAACUCGGGAUGAUGGGAGGAAGCCAUUUCAAUUUCAAAGUAGAAAUGGAAAAAUGAAUUCCACCUUUUUUUCAGGUUCUUGGCUCUUGUGCCUUUGUGAAACAUUUCCCUUCACUUCACAAAAAAAUAACCAAAAACAAUAUAAAUCAAUAUGCCUUGCAUUAUACAAUAGCAUUAUUGUUGGCAAAGGGUUUGUUGUGCAUCACUCAGACAACAGUGGGGAUGAAGAUGUGCUCUAUCCUCGUCUUCUCUCCAAGCUCCUUCCCUUUGCAAUGCAGGGUCACGGUCACUUUUCUCAUGGCUCUCCAUGGCACAAUAAUAAAACUGCCGUGUGUGUGUGUGCAAAAGAUUGUGUGUGUGUGUGAGAGAGAGAGGGGGGAAGGGUAGUGGGAGGACCUUUUUAUAUCGCCAAAGUGCAGUGUAAAUAGCUUCCGCUGAAGCGUUUAUUAAGUAGUACUUAAACUACAGUACUUACCUAGUGAUAGGAACGUGCUCUUCUCAGUAGUAAUAAUAAUCAUUUUAUUCUCAAACAAGUGCACAAAUGAUAUCUAAAGAAAGUUAUGAAGAGAAUUUCAAUCAAAAUCUAUACCCUGAAUCUCCAAUAAAUUCACAUAGACACGCAAUCCAUUCUUAGUAGAAGCUGGUGUCCAUCUCAAUUGAACUCAAGUGUGUAACUUGAGUGUGAUUGUUGACAUAAUAGAGUAGAGAACCCCCUCCCCCUACACACACACACACACGCUCCUCCAAAUCUAUGCCAGUGACACAUUUUUUCCAGCUUUUGAUAAAGACUGCUUCAUCAAGCACUGCAGGGGGGGGGGGCUAUAAAUGACUUCAUCAUGACUGGUCACUGUGAACUCCCCCAU